UGGGGAAUAUUGGACAAUGGGCGCAAGCCUGAUCCAGCCAUGCCGCGUGUGUGAAGAAGGCCUUAGGGUUGUAAAGCACUUUAGGUGGGGAAGAAGUUAGUAAUGUUAAUAGCGUUACUAAUUGCCAUUACCCACAGAAUAAGCACCGGCUAACUCCGUGCCAGCAGCCGCGGUAAUACGGAGGGUGCAAGCGUUAAUCGGAUUGACUGGGCGUAAAGGGUGCGUAGGUGGUUAUAUAAGUUGGAUGUGAAAGCCCUGGGCUCAACCUAGGCGGGUCGUCCAAAACUGUAUAACUCGAGUGCGGCAGAGGAAGGUAGAAUUUCAGGUGUAGCGGUGAAAUGCGUAGAUAUCUGAAGGAAUACCGGUGGCGAAGGCGGCCUUCUGGGCUGGCACUGACACUGAUGCACGAAAGCGUGGGUAGCGAACAGGAUUAGAUACCCCUGUAGUCC
This 449-nucleotide ribosomal RNA is filed under the name uncultured prokaryote. RNAcentral's name for it is "bacterial SSU rRNA". It matches the Rfam family "Bacterial small subunit ribosomal RNA", at positions 355 to 796 of the family's 1533-position model. The record is from RNAcentral.